AUGAACGCUGGCGGCGUGCUUAACACAUGCAAGUCGAACGAAGCACUUUAUUUGAUUUCCUUCGGGACUGAUUAUUUUGUGACUGAGUGGCGGACGGGUGAGUAACGCGUGGGUAACCUGCCUUGUACAGGGGGAUAACAGUUGGAAACGGCUGCUAAUACCGCAUAAGCGCACGGCAUCGCAUGAUGCAGUGUGAAAAACUCCGGUGGUAUAAGAUGGACCCGCGUUGGAUUAGCUAGUUGGUGAGGUAACGGCCCACCAAGGCGACGAUCCAUAGCCGACCUGAGAGGGGGAUCGGCCACAGUGGGAAUGAGAGACGGCAGAAAGUCGUAGGGGAGGAAGCAGUAGGGAUGAUUAGGGAAUGGACGAAAGUGGGAGCGAGCAAGGACGAGUGAGUGAAGAAGGUUGCAGGAUGGUAAAACUAGGUUGGUAGAGAAGAACGUUGGUGAGAGUGGAAAGUUCAUCAAGGGACGGUAAAUACGCAGAAAGGGAGGGCUAAAUACGUG
Molecule: ribosomal RNA, 506 nt
Filed under: uncultured bacterium
Lineage: Bacteria
Description: partial 16S ribosomal RNA
Rfam family: Bacterial small subunit ribosomal RNA
Source: RNAcentral